RNAcentral lists this non-coding RNA (191 nucleotides) under Gelatoporia subvermispora B. RNAcentral describes it as "Eukaryotic small subunit ribosomal RNA". It matches the Rfam family "Eukaryotic small subunit ribosomal RNA", at positions 1 to 192 of the family's 1831-position model. Lineage: Eukaryota; Fungi; Basidiomycota; Agaricomycetes; Polyporales; Gelatoporiaceae. The record is from Rfam by way of RNAcentral.
UACCUGGUUGAUUCUGCCAGUAGUCAUAUGCUUGUCUCAAAGAUUAAGCCAUGCAUGUCUAAGUUUAAGCAAUUAAACCGCGAAACUGCGAAUGGCUCAUUAAAUCAGUUAUAGUUUAUUUGAUAGUACCUUACUACAUGGAUAACCGUGGUAAUUCUAGAGCUAAUACAUGCUAAAAACCCCGACUUCGG